UACGGAGAAGGCAAGCGUUACCCGGAAUUAUUGGGCGUAAAGCGCGCGCAGGCGGUUUCUUAAGUCUGAUGUGAAAGCCAACGGCUUAACCGUGGAGGGUCAUUGGAAACUGGGGAACUUGAGUACAGAAGAGGAGAGUGGAAUUCCACGUGUAGCGGUCAAAUGCGUAGAUAUGUGGAGGAACACCAGUGGCGAAGGCGACUCUCUGGUCUGUAACUGACGCUGAGGCGCGAAAGCGUGGGGAGCGAACAGG
RNAcentral lists this unclassified non-coding RNA (253 nucleotides) under uncultured Caryophanales bacterium. RNAcentral's name for it is "uncultured Bacillales bacterium contains 16S-23S intergenic spacer region". It matches the Rfam family "Bacterial small subunit ribosomal RNA", at positions 524 to 776 of the family's 1533-position model. Lineage: Bacteria; Bacillati; Bacillota; Bacilli; Caryophanales. The record is from RNAcentral.